RNAcentral lists this transfer RNA (69 nucleotides) under Beta vulgaris subsp. vulgaris (sugar beet). It matches the Rfam family "tRNA". From Rfam's summary of the family: Transfer RNA (tRNA) molecules are approximately 80 nucleotides in length. Their secondary structure includes four short double-helical elements and three loops (D, anti-codon, and T loops). Lineage: Eukaryota; Viridiplantae; Streptophyta; Magnoliopsida; Caryophyllales; Amaranthaceae. The record is from Rfam by way of RNAcentral.
GACCUAUUAGCUCAAAUGGAAGAGCAUUGUGUCAUGCACAAGAUGUGGGUUCGAUUCCCACAUAGGUUA